RNAcentral lists this ribosomal RNA (892 nucleotides) under Lactobacillus sp. 7.8.27. RNAcentral describes it as "bacterial SSU rRNA". It matches the Rfam family "Bacterial small subunit ribosomal RNA", at positions 50 to 904 of the family's 1533-position model. The record is from RNAcentral. Lineage: Bacteria; Bacillati; Bacillota; Bacilli; Lactobacillales; Lactobacillaceae.
AAUACAUGCAAGUCGAACGAGCUUCCGUUGAAUGACGUGCUUGCACUGAUUUCAACAAUGAAGCGAGUGGCGAACUGGUGAGUAACACGUGGGGAAUCUGCCCAGAAGCAGGGGAUAACACUUGGAAACAGGUGCUAAUACCGUAUAACAACAAAAUCCGCAUGGAUUUUGUUUGAAAGGUGGCUUCGGCUAUCACUUCUGGAUGAUCCCGCGGCGUAUUAGUUAGUUGGUGAGGUAAAGGCCCACCAAGACGAUGAUACGUAGCCGACCUGAGAGGGUAAUCGGCCACAUUGGGACUGAGACACGGCCCAAACUCCUACGGGAGGCAGCAGUAGGGAAUCUUCCACAAUGGACGAAAGUCUGAUGGAGCAAUGCCGCGUGAGUGAAGAAGGGUUUCGGCUCGUAAAACUCUGUUGUUAAAGAAGAACACCUUUGAGAGUAACUGUUCAAGGGUUGACGGUAUUUAACCAGAAAGCCACGGCUAACUACGUGCCAGCAGCCGCGGUAAUACGUAGGUGGCAAGCGUUGUCCGGAUUUAUUGGGCGUAAAGCGAGCGCAGGCGGUUUUUUAAGUCUGAUGUGAAAGCCUUCGGCUUAACCGGAGAAGUGCAUCGGAAACUGGGAGACUUGAGUGCAGAAGAGGACAGUGGAACUCCAUGUGUAGCGGUGGAAUGCGUAGAUAUAUGGAAGAACACCAGUGGCGAAGGCGGCUGUCUAGUCUGUAACUGACGCUGAGGCUCGAAAGCAUGGGUAGCGAACAGGAUUAGAUACCCUGGUAGUCCAUGCCGUAAACGAUGAGUGCUAAGUGUUGGAGGGUUUCCGCCCUUCAGUGCUGCAGCUAACGCAUUAAGCACUCCGCCUGGGGGAGUACGACCGCAAGGGUUGAAACUCAA